AGUCAGUGGAAAUUAAAACAUACUUCCUGGGGAUGAUAAGGGGCCCACAGAGCCGUCUUUGUUGGUUUAAAUCCACCAAGACGAGCAGCUUGAAUCACAUGGGAUUCCCUUAUGAGUCUUCCAUAGAGGACUGUUUCACUGGCAUACAGGCUGAAUCUGGGAGGGUUACAGAAUUCAUCUCCUGUAACCGAAUGGAGACAUCAUUCAUCAUGCCACAUUAUUUUGUG
Long non-coding RNA from Hemibagrus wyckioides, 227 nucleotides. RefSeq lists it as uncharacterized. The record is from RefSeq and is a predicted model, not a curated record. The transcript is spliced from 3 exons. Lineage: Eukaryota; Metazoa; Chordata; Actinopteri; Siluriformes; Bagridae.